GAGUUUGAUCCUGGCUCAGAACGAACGCUGGCGGCGUGGAUAAGACAUGCAAGUCGAGCGAGAUUUUUUCUUGUAGCAAUACAGGGAAAAGUCUAGCGGCGAACGGGUGCUUAACACGUGGGCAACCUGCCGUGAAGUGGGGGAUAGCUCGCCGAAAGGCGAAUUAAUACCGCAUGUGAUUAGAGAGGACAUCCUUUCGAAAUUAAGGUCGGGGCAACCUGACGCUUCUUGUGGGGCCCGCGGCCUAUCAGCUAGUUGGUGAGGUAAAAGCUCACCAAGGCUAUGACGGGUAGGGGGUGUGAGAGCACGGCCCCCAACGACGAAACUGAGAUACGGUUCGUACACCUACGGGUGGCAGCAGUCGAGAAUAUUCGACAAUGGGCGAAAGCCUGAUCGAGCGACGCCGCGUGCAGGAAGAAGGCCUUCGGGUCGUAAACUGCUUUUGCGUGGGAAAAAUUUAUGAUUGUACCACGAGAAUAAGGGGUUGCUAACUCUGUGCCAGCAGCAGCGGUAAUACAGAGACCCCGAGCGUUAUCCGGAAUUACUGGGCGUAAAGCGCAAGUAGUCGGUUUUGUUAGUCUGAUGUUAAAUCUCUGGGCCCAACCCAGAGGCCGCAUCGGAAACGGCAGAACUAGAGCGAGUUAGAGGCAAGCGGAACGUGUGGUGUAGCGGUGAAAUGCGUUGAUAUCACACGGAACACCAAAAGCGAAGGCAGCUUGCUGGGACUUUGCUGACGAUCAGUUGCGAAAGCGUGGGGAUCAAAAAGGAUUAGAUACCCUUGUAGUCCACGCCCUAAACGAUGCAGACUAGCUAUCGGGAGCAUCGACCCUCCCGGUGGCGCAGCUAACGCGUUAAGUCUGCCGCCUGGGAAGUACGAUCGCAAGAUUAAAACUCAAAUGAAUAGGCGGGAGCUCGCACAAGCGGUGGAUCAUGCGGUUCAAUUCGACACAGAGCGAAAAACCUCACCAGGGUUUGAAAUCCAGCUGCACGCUUCGGGAAACCGAGGAAGCCUUCGAGGGUGCUGGACAGGUGCUGCACGGCUGUCGUCAGCUCGUCAUGUGAAUGGUUCCCUUCAGUGGGGAAACGAGCGCAACCCCUAUUGCCUGUUAUAAGUGUCAGGCGAGACUGCCCGGGAUGACCGGGAGGAAGGCGGGGAUGACGUCAAGUCAGCGUGGCCCUCUGAUAUCCUGGGCUACACGCAUGAUACAAUGGGAAGUAACAAUGGGUUGCCAAGCCGCGAGGCGGAGCUAAUCCCAUCAAACCUUCCCCCAGUUCGGAUAGGAGGCUGAAACUUGCCUCCUUGAAGCCGGAAUCGCUAGUAAUCGCAGAUCAGCACGCUGCGGUGAUACGUUCUCGAGCUUUGCACACAC
Molecule: ribosomal RNA, 1370 nt
Filed under: uncultured bacterium
Lineage: Bacteria
Description: bacterial SSU rRNA
Rfam family: Bacterial small subunit ribosomal RNA
Source: RNAcentral